UGGGGAAUUUUGGACAAUGGGCGAAAGCCUGAUCCAGCAACGCCGCGUGAAGGAUGAAGGUCUUCGGAUUGUAAACUUCUUUUAGAGGGAACGAAUAAAUUGACGGUACUCUCAGAAAAAGCCACGGCUAACUACGUGCCAGCAGCCGCGGUAAUACGUAGGUGGCGAGCGUUACUCGGAUUUACUAGGUGUAAAGCGUGUGUAGGUGGUUGCAUAAGUCUAUGGUGAAAUCUCCCGGCUUAACCGGGAGGGGUCCAUAGAAACUAUGCGGCUUGAGUGUGGGAGGGGAGAACGGAAUUCCUGGUGUAGCGGUGAAAUGCGUAGAUAUCAGGAGGAACACCGAUGGCGAAAGCGGUUCUCUGGCCCAAUACUGACACUGAGACACGAAAGCUAGGGUAGCAAACAGG
Molecule: ribosomal RNA, 407 nt
Filed under: uncultured bacterium
Lineage: Bacteria
Description: bacterial SSU rRNA
Rfam family: Bacterial small subunit ribosomal RNA
Source: RNAcentral